Molecule: ribosomal RNA, 401 nt
Filed under: uncultured bacterium
Lineage: Bacteria
Description: bacterial SSU rRNA
Rfam family: Bacterial small subunit ribosomal RNA
Source: RNAcentral
UAUUGGGCAAUGGGCGCAAGCCUGACCCAGCAACGCCGCGUGAAGGAAGAAGGCUUUCGGGUUGUAAACUUCUUUUAUCAGGGACGAAACAAAUGACGGUACCUGAUGAAUAAGCCACGGCUAACUACGUGCCAGCAGCCGCGGUAAUACGUAGGUGGCAAGCGUUAUCCGGAUUUACUGGGUGUAAAGGGCGUGUAGGCGGGCUUGCAAGUCAGAUGUGAAAUUCCAGGGCCCAACCCUGGAACUGCAUUUGAAACUGUAGGUCUUGAGUGCUGGAGAGGCAAUCGGAAUUCCGUGUGUAGCGGUGAAAUGCGUAGAUAUACGGAGGAACACCAGUGGCGAAGGCGGAUUGCUGGACAGUAACUGACGCUGAGGCGCGAAAGCGUGGGGAGCAAACAGGA